RNAcentral lists this ribosomal RNA (247 nucleotides) under uncultured bacterium. RNAcentral's name for it is "partial 16S ribosomal RNA". It matches the Rfam family "Bacterial small subunit ribosomal RNA", at positions 523 to 769 of the family's 1533-position model. The record is from RNAcentral.
AUACGAAGGGGGCUAGCGUUGCUCGGAAUUACUGGGCGUAAAGGGCGCGUAGGCGGACAGUUUAGUCAGAGGUAAAAGCCCAGGGCUCAACCUUGGAACUGCCUUUGAUACUGGCUGUCUUGAGUUCGGGAGAGGUGAGUGGAAUGCCGAGUGUAGAGGUGAAAUUCGUAGAUAUUCGGCGGAACACCAGUGGCGAAGGCGACUCACUGGCCCGAUACUGACGCUGAGGCGCGAAAGCGUGGGGAGC